AGCGGCGGACGGCUGAGUAACGCGUGGGAACGUGCCCCAAAGUGAGGGAUAAGCAUCGGAAACGGUGUCUAAUACCGCAUAUGGUCUUCGGAUUAAAGGAUUUAUCCGCUUUGGGAGCGGCCCGCGUUAGAUUAGGUAGUUGGUAGGGUAAUGGCCUACCAAGCCUACGAUCUAUAACUGGUCUGAGAGGAUGAUCAGUCAGACUGGAACUGAGACACGGUCCAGACUCCUACGGGAGGCAGCAGUGAGGAAUCUUCCACAAUGGGCGAAAGCCUGAUGGAGCAACGCCGCGUGAAGGAUGAAGGCCCUAGGGUCGUAAACUUCUUUUAUAAGUGAAGAAUAUGACGGUAACUUAUGAAUAAGCACCGGCUAACUACGUGCCAGCAGCCGCGGUCAUACGUAGGGUGCAAGCAUUAUCCGGAGUGACUGGGCGUAAAGAGUUGCGUAGGCGGUUAGUAAAGUGAAUAGUGAAACCUGGUGGCUCAACCAUACAGACUAUUAUUCAAACUCACUAACUCGAGAAUGGUAGAGGUAACUGGAAUUUCUUGUGUAGGAGUGAAAUCCGUAGAUAUAAGAAGGAACACCAAUGGCGUAGGCAGGUUACUGGACCAUUUCUGACGCUGAGGCACGAAAGCGUGGGGAGCGAACCGGAUUAGAUACCCGGGUAGUCCACGCCGUAAACGAUGGAUACUAGCUGUUGGAGGUAUCGACCCCUUCAGUAGCGAAGCUAACGCGUUAAGUAUCCCGCCUGUGGAGUACGGUCGCAAGACUAAAACAUAAAGGAAUUGACGGGGACCCGCACAAGCGGUGGAUCAUGUUCUUUAAUUCGAUGAUAAACG
This 839-nucleotide ribosomal RNA is filed under the name uncultured bacterium. RNAcentral's name for it is "bacterial SSU rRNA". It matches the Rfam family "Bacterial small subunit ribosomal RNA", at positions 94 to 963 of the family's 1533-position model. The record is from RNAcentral.